GGGCGGUGUUCCUGUGUUCUUAGGGCCCCAGGAGGCGAGUCUGAGUGGAACCUGGCUGGGGUAGGCUGAAAGGUGAUUUCGACGCUCUUCUGAGGCCUCAGACGUGUGUGAUGACUGCCCUGUAGAAUCAGUGCUGUGACCCCGAGUAACAACGCGCGCUUGAGUUGGUAUAAACUCCUGAAGGUCUAAAGCUCAAGUCUAAAUAAUUUGGAAGAUGG
This 218-nucleotide long non-coding RNA is filed under the name Pan troglodytes (chimpanzee). RNAcentral's name for it is "long non-coding RNA NONPTRT008516". The record is from RNAcentral. Lineage: Eukaryota; Metazoa; Chordata; Mammalia; Primates; Hominidae.